UACGAGUGGUGCAAGCGUUAUUCGGAAUAAUUGGGCGUACAGGGUGUGUAGGCGGUAUGUUAAGUCUGUUGUUAAAGACUCCGGCCUAACUGGAGAAAGGCAACAGAAACUGGCGUACUAGAGGGUGGAAGAGAGAAGUGGAAUUCUCGGUGUAGCGGUAAAAUGCGUAGAUAUCGAGAGGAACACCAAUGGCGAAGGCAGCUUCUUGGUCCACAUCUGACGCUGAGACACGAAAGCGUGGGGAGCAAACAGGAUUAGAUACCCUGGUAGUCCACGCUGUAAACGAUGAUCACUAGACGUUGGUUCUGUUUUACAGAAUCAGUGUCGCAGCUAACGCGAUAAGUGAUCCGCCUGGGGACUACGGUCGCAAGAUUAAA
Molecule: ribosomal RNA, 377 nt
Filed under: uncultured bacterium
Lineage: Bacteria
Description: bacterial SSU rRNA
Rfam family: Bacterial small subunit ribosomal RNA
Source: RNAcentral